UCUGCGGACGGCUCGUAAAUCAGUAAUGAUCUAUCUGAUUGUUGAGACCCAUUGGAUAACCGUGGGAAAUCUAGAGCUAAUACAUGCGUUGUAAUUAUAUGGUGGUCUUCGGGCUGCCGUAUAAAGCAUUUAUUGGUAGAAACCAACUAUUGGCAGGUGGCAACAUUUGUCAAUAUGGAUGAAUCUAGAUAACUUUGCUGAUCGUAGUGGCGUAAUAGCCGGCGACAUUUCAGUUGAACUUCUGCCCUAUCAAUUGGUUGGUAAGGUAGUGGCUUACCAAGGUUGUAACGGGUAACGGGGGAUCAGGGUUCGAUUCCGGAGAGGGAGCCUGAGAAACGGCUACCACAUCCAAGGAAGGCAGCAGGCGCGCAAAUUACCCAAUCCAGACAGUGGGAGGUGGCGACGAGAAUUACUGAGUGGUAGCCUUAAUGGUUAUCGACUUAGAAUGAACGUGAUUUAAGAAAUCCGUUGAGUAACAACUGGAGGGCAAGUCUGGUGCCAGCAGCCGCGGUAAUUCCAGCUCCAGUAGCGUACCUCAAAGUUGCUGCGUUUAAAACGCUCGUAGUUGGAUCACAUGGUUAGGUUUAGUGAAUUAGCGUGUUAGUACGCUAAAUCCUCAAGUGUAGAUGUGACGGUGUGUUAUCAUCGUUGCAGUUUAUAUAUUGUGGAGUACUGCACGUUGAUUGUUAGCUAAGCCUAACUGAUUGCGUAUGGGGAUGGCAGUUGACCUUAAGUGAGUCGACUGUUGUGUCCCAUGGAGUGUGCCUUGAAUAAAUCAGAGUGCUCAAAGCAGGCUUGAUGCCUGAAUGUUAACAGCAUGGAACGAACAAUUGUGGCAACAUGAUACUGUUUCAACUAGUAAUGUGCUUAUUUGUAUGUUACUAUGUUGGGGCAGUAUCAUAGCACCAACCACCAAUAUCGGAUGUUGGUUCCGUAUUGGGGUGAUGAUUAAGAGGAGCGGUUGGGGGCAUUGGUAUUUUGCCGCGAGAGGUGAAAUUCUUGGACCGGCAAAGGACUAACAAAUGCGAAGGCAUUUGCCUAGACCGUAUCCAUUAAUCAAGAACGAUAGUGGGAGGUUCGAAGACGAUCAGAUACCGUCCUAGUUCCCACCGUAAACUAUGCCGACUCGGGAUCAGUUUGGUGCUAUUACCAACGCUCGAAGUUGAUCCCCCUGGGAAACCUGAAGUUUUUCGGUUACGGGGGGAGUAUGGUUGCAAGGCUGAAACUUAAAGGAAUUGACGGAAGGGCACCACCAGGGGUGGAGCCUGCGGCUUAAUUUGACUCAACACGGGGAAACUCACCCGGUCCGGACAUCGAAAGGAUAGACAGAUUGAUAGAUCUUUCUUGAUACGGUGAUUGGUGGUGCAUGGCCGUUCUUAGUUCGUGGAGUGAUCUGUCAGGCCUAUCCCGGUAACGAACGAGACCAUAAUCUUCAUUUGAGAAGCAGCAGAAUUCGAUAGGCGGCUGCCAGUGUGGUAAAACACACUGGUACACUGUUUCUCGAGAGGCAGAAAGGUCUUUUGCUGCGUUUGCUUCACGGCGAAUGUAGUCGAAGCGCCUAGCUCCAUGCUGCCAAGCAGUGCAAGGCUGAAAGGUUGAGCACUGUAUCAUGAAGAGGCAACUGUGUAUAUAUCAAAGACAGAGGAA
RNAcentral lists this ribosomal RNA (1647 nucleotides) under Hungactinomyxon sp. 'type 1' EE-2004. RNAcentral's name for it is "SSU rRNA". It matches the Rfam family "Eukaryotic small subunit ribosomal RNA", at positions 86 to 1442 of the family's 1831-position model. The record is from RNAcentral. Lineage: Eukaryota; Metazoa; Cnidaria; Myxozoa.